RNAcentral lists this ribosomal RNA (253 nucleotides) under uncultured bacterium. RNAcentral describes it as "partial 16S ribosomal RNA". It matches the Rfam family "Bacterial small subunit ribosomal RNA", at positions 524 to 776 of the family's 1533-position model. The record is from RNAcentral.
UACGUAGGGUGCGAGCGUUAUUCGGAAUUACUGGGCGUAAAGAGUGCGUAGGCGGCCGAGCAAGUCGAGUGUGAAAGCCCCGAGCUUAACUUGGGAACUGCGCUCGAAACUACUUGGCUAGAGUGUGGCAGAGGGAGGUGGAAUUCCACGUGUAGCGGUGAAAUGCGUAGAGAUGUGGAGGAACACCGAUGGCGAAGGCAGCCUCCUGGGCCGACACUGACGCUCAUGCACGAAAGCGUGGGGAGCAAACAGG